This 402-nucleotide ribosomal RNA is filed under the name uncultured bacterium. Its description in RNAcentral is "bacterial SSU rRNA". It matches the Rfam family "Bacterial small subunit ribosomal RNA", at positions 356 to 773 of the family's 1533-position model. The record is from RNAcentral.
GGGGAAUAUUGGGCAAUGGACGCAAGUCUGACCCAGCAACGCCGCGUGAAGGAAGAAGGCUUUCGGGUUGUAAACUUCUUUUAACAGGGAAGAGAGGAAGACGGUACCUGUUGAAUAAGCCAGGGCUAACUACGUGCCAGCAGCCGCGGUAAUACGUAGGUGGCAAGCGUUGUCCGGAUUUACUGGGUGUAAAGGGCGUGUAGCCGGGAAGGCAAGUCAGAUGUGAAAUCUGGAGGCUCAACCUCCAAACUGCAUUUGAAACUGCUUUUCUUGAGUAUCGGAGAGGUAAUCGGAAUUCCUUGUGUAGCGGUGAAAUGCGUAGAUAUAAGGAAGAACACCGGUGGCGAAGGCGGCUCUCUGGACCGAUACUGACGCUGAGACGCGAAAGCGUGGGUAGCAAAC